AUCCUUUUAUAGUUCAUAAGCAUGAUGACUGGGUGUUUAUGCACACGUGUGAGAUCUGCCACUCUCUGAACCUUGUUACAACAUUGGCACAUUACUCGUCUAACC
Small nucleolar RNA from Pongo abelii (Sumatran orangutan), 105 nucleotides. The record is from Ensembl. Lineage: Eukaryota; Metazoa; Chordata; Mammalia; Primates; Hominidae.